UUCGGUGAUUCAAACGAGCUGGCCACACCCGAUCCCAUCCCGAACUCGGUAGUUAAGCAGUUCAGUGUCGAUGAUAGCUGUUCCCAACCCGGAGCCGCAAAAGUAGACCAUCGCCGGAA
This 119-nucleotide ribosomal RNA is filed under the name Candidatus Magasanikiibacteriota bacterium. The record is from RNAcentral. Lineage: Bacteria; Candidatus Magasanikiibacteriota.